Molecule: ribosomal RNA, 402 nt
Filed under: uncultured bacterium
Lineage: Bacteria
Description: bacterial SSU rRNA
Rfam family: Bacterial small subunit ribosomal RNA
Source: RNAcentral
GACGAACGCUGGCGGCGUGCCUAACACAUGCAAGUCGAACGGAGAUACGAUUUCGGUUGUAUCUUAGUGGCGAACGGGUGAGUAACGCGUGAGCAACCUGACUCUUAGAGGGGGAUAACACCUGGAAACAAGUGCUAAUACCGCAUAAGACCACGACCCGGCAUCGGGAUGAGGUCAAAGGAGCAAUCCGCUGAGAGAGGGGCUCGCGUCCCAUUAGAUAGAUGGCGGGGUAACGGCCCACCAUGUCAGCGAUGGGUAGCCGAGCUGAGAGGCUGAUCGGCCACACUGGAACUGAGACACGGUCCAGACUCCUACGGGAGGCAGCAGUGGGGAAUAUUGGGCAAUGGGCGCAAGCCUGACCCAGCAACGCCGCGUGAGGGAAGAAGGCUUUCGGGUUGUAAA